AUUGAACGCUGGCGGCAGGCCUAACACAUGCAAGUCGAACGGUAACAGGAAGAAGCUUGCUUCUUUGCUGACGAGUGGCGGACGGGUGAGUAAUGUCUGGGAAACUGCCUGAUGGAGGGGGAUAACUACUGGAAACGGUAGCUAAUACCGCAUAACGUCGCAAGACCAAAGAGGGGGACCUUCGGGCCUCUUGCCAUCGGAUGUGCCCAGAUGGGAUUAGCUAGUAGGUGGGGUAACGGCUCACCUAGGCGACGAUCCCUAGCUGGUCUGAGAGGAUGACCAGCCACACUGGAACUGAGACACGGUCCAGACUCCUACGGGAGGCAGCAGUGGGGAAUAUUGCACAAUGGGCGCAAGCCUGAUGCAGCCAUGCCGCGUGUAUGAAGAAGGCCUUCGGGUUGUAAAGUACUUUCAGCGGGGAGGAAGGGAGUAAAGUUAAUACCUUUGCUCAUUGACGUGACCCGCAGAAGAAACACCGGCUAACUCCGU
RNAcentral lists this ribosomal RNA (489 nucleotides) under uncultured bacterium. RNAcentral describes it as "partial 16S ribosomal RNA". It matches the Rfam family "Bacterial small subunit ribosomal RNA", at positions 30 to 506 of the family's 1533-position model. The record is from RNAcentral.